AUUGAACGCUGGCGGCAUGCCUUACACAUGCAAGUCGAACGGCAGCACGGGUGCUUGCACCUGGUGGCGAGUGGCGAACGGGUGAGUAAUACAUCGGAACAUGUCCUGUAGUGGGGGAUAGCCCGGCGAAAGCCGGAUUAAUACCGCAUACGAUCUACGGAUGAAAGCGUGGGACCUUCGGGCCUCGCGCUAUAGGGUUGGCCGCUGGCUGAUUAGCUAGUUGGUGGGGUAAAGGCCUACCAAGGCGACGAUCAGUAGCUGGUCUGAGAGGACGACCAGCCACACUGGGACUGAGACACGGCCCAGACUCCUACGGGAGGCAGCAGUGGGGAAUUUUGGACAAUGGGCGAAAGCCUGAUCCAGCAAUGCCGCGUGUGUGAAGAAGGCCUUCGGGUUGUAAAGCACUUUUGUCCGGAAAGAAAUCCUUGGCCCUAAUACGGUCGGGGGAUGACGGUACCGGAAGAAUAAGCACCGGCUAACUACGUG
This 486-nucleotide ribosomal RNA is filed under the name uncultured bacterium. RNAcentral's name for it is "partial 16S ribosomal RNA". It matches the Rfam family "Bacterial small subunit ribosomal RNA", at positions 30 to 507 of the family's 1533-position model. The record is from RNAcentral.